UACGGAGGAUGCAAGCGUUAUCCGGAUUUAUUGGGGGUAAAGGGUGCGUAGGCGGCCUUUUAAGUCAGUGGUGAAAUCUUGCCGCUUAACGGUAAAAUUGCCAUUGAUACUGAAAGGCUUGAGUACAGUUGAGGUAAGCGGAAUGUCUAGUGUAGCGGUGAAAUGCGUAGAGAUUACACAGAACACCAAUUGCGAAGGCAGCCUACUAAACUGUUACUGACGCUGAUGCACGAAAGCGUGGGGAGCGAACAGG
RNAcentral lists this ribosomal RNA (253 nucleotides) under uncultured bacterium. Its description in RNAcentral is "partial 16S ribosomal RNA". It matches the Rfam family "Bacterial small subunit ribosomal RNA", at positions 524 to 776 of the family's 1533-position model. The record is from RNAcentral.